GUUGGUGCCCCCUCCAUUCCAUGCACAAAGGCUGACUGGGCAGGCUGCUGAACCUUACUUCAGUACUGACAAAGGAUAGCAUCUUCCAGGUAACUGAGGGCUGCAGGCAAGUUUAUGCGGAGCAUGAUAUGACUGGGGAACACAUAGGUUUGAUUUCCAGCAGUGGAGAAUGACCAGGCUGCUCAUGAGGAACAGCUAGAGGGCUGCCAUUGCUUACCAUCUGUAUCUGCCACCUGAGGUGAUUGCCUCACUCUGUCUAAUGGUAGGGCAGAUCUGUAGGGAAUACUGGCUAGCUAGAGGGACAAAUCAACUUCCUAUGUUGAUUCCAUUAUUUUUCCAACAUCACCAACUGGAUAAAUGGGUCUCAGCCAUGAGUGUCUAUUUUAUAUAUUUUUUUUAUUUUUUAUUUUUUGUAACUGCUGGUUUGUUUGUUUUUUUAAAAAAAACUUUCAGUUGUUUUUAAUUGUACAUUGCCUUGAGACAAUUGUGCAGGAGGUGAUUCACAAAUCCAUUUAAACAAAUCUCUCUCUUCCAGGAAAAAAAACAACAACCCAGCCCUCCACUGUUGAAACUAAAUUUUAAAAAUUAAUAUCCGGCAGAACAGUUAUUCAAAUACUGUAUCUUGCCACACAACCUAAAUGGCUUUGGCAAGAUAUAUGGGACAGAAGAGAAUAAAUUUAACCUGAAUGUCAGGUUAAUUUGCUAACCUAUUAUAAAAUACAUAGCUAAAAUGGGCACUCAGAUUGAUGCAGUAUCUGUAAAGCAGUCAGGAACUGUUUCUUUACUAUAAUAAAACAUUGUAAGGUGUUAUACUUCAUUUUGGAAGGAAGAAGGGGGUUGGAGAAACAGUGUUAUAUAUCCAGAUUUGGUUUCUCAGUCUUCGUUCUUUUGAAAAUGUCAUUUAAAUUAAAUAAAGGAAAACAUGGGAGUUCUGAGAGUUGAAUAAACAUGCUGUUCUUUCAAGCCUGUUGGGGACAUAACCUCUUUUGUUUCGGGACAUAACCUCUUUUGUUGACUCUAUAAAGACAGGAAUAUUGAGAAUCUGGCAGAACAGUUCUGAACAGAUCUAAUGGCAGAGCAGGCCCCUACUCUGAGUCUAGGUGCCCUGACACAAUCUAGUACCUAGGCAGGAGUUAGCACAUACAUCCUAACGUCAUAUUUAUGGCAGAUCCAUUCCUUGACCCAUACCAAUUCUCUCAAUUCUCUGGGCUAAUCACGGACCAAAUCCACCCUAGGACUUACAUUUUAAACAUCCAUCCAAAACUUUUGCAUCUUUAGUCAGAAGUAAUGAGUUCAGUUGAACUUUUCUGUGCAUAAGAGUAGAGCAUGGGUAGGCAAACUAAGGCCUGGGGGCCAGAUCUGGCCCAAUCACCUUCUAAAUCUGGCCCAUGGACAGUCCCAGAAUCAGUGUGAUUUUACAUGGGUAGAAUGUGUGCUUUUGUUUAAAAUGCAUCUCUGGGUUAUUUGUGGGGCAUAGGAAUUUGUUCAUUUUUAUUUUUAUUUUCCAAAAUAUAGUCCCGCCCCCCACAAGGUCUGAGGGAAAGUGGAUCAGCCCCCUGCUGAAAAAGUUUGCUGACCCCUGAGAGCCUUGCAGCUACAGAAACAAACCCCUUCAAAAGUCAGUGCAGAGGUUAGGGUGUCAGGAGACCAGGGUCUUAAGGCAUGAAUUUACUAUUCAGACAUCAUCCAGGUCAGUCUUAUCUACCUCACAGGGUUGUGGGGAUGAACACCUUCAGAUCUCCUUAAGGUCCUCAGUGGAAUGACAGCAUGUGGAUCUUGCUGUUUUUACUGAUGUUGAUUUCAGUGAAGAAGUUAGGCCUGAGCUCCAGUCCUAAUGGAACGGAAAAGUGCUUGCUUUUUGCUGGAUCAUGUCCUGAAUGUGCUUAGGCCUGAGUCUUUCAUUACUUUGCCAAUAAAACAGGAGGCCAGUUUCCUUUGCUGACACCUCCAAAUCCUCCUGGGAUAAAAGGGGGAAAAUAACAAUUCCACACUUGCAGCACAAGCUGCUUCAGGCAUUUAAAACUUUCUUUCAUUUGCCAAACUGAUUUUUGAGCAGAAUGGAAGAAUCCUGCUGGGCCUUAAGGCUUCACUAAAGCUGGAACAGGUGAAUGUGCAUUUUUCCCCAAUCAAAGAAACAUUUAAAAAUGCCUCUCUCCCUUGAGCACUAGAGGACAUGACAUUUGUUUGAAGCUGAAUUUUGUAUCUUUGUGCCUUGUCUGGGCAAUGAAGUCUCUCUCACUCAUUAUAAAAACUAUAACUCACUACAGGUAAACCUAGCUCCAUGUACCUGACAUAAAUACAUAUUCCUUAUGUGUUGACAUUUGCCUCUGUCUCUCCUCCUCCCAAUUCUCUGUUGUUACAGUCAAAUUUAGGACUGUAAACCCCUUGGGGCACAGACCUGUCAUGCACUUUUGAUUUCUUCAUUUCCUCCUCUAAAUUUAUUUUGAAUUUGCAAAACAACAUGUUUAGUCAUGUCCGAUUCUUCAUGACCCCAUGGACCAGAGCACGCCAGGCACUCCUGUCUUCCACUGCCUCUCGCAGUUUGGUCAAACUCAUGUUGGUGGCUUCAAGAACACUGUCUAACUAUCUCGUCCUAUGUCGUCCCCUUCUCCUUGUGCCCUCCAUCUUUCCCAACAUCAGGGUCUUUUCCAGGGAGUCUUCUCUUCUCAUGAGGUGGCCAAAGUAUUGGAGCCUCAGCUUCAGGAUCUGUCCUUCCAGUGAGCACUCAGGGCUGAUUUCCUUAAGAAUGGAGAGGUUUGAUCUUCUUGCAGUCCAUGGGACUCUCAAGAGUCUCCUCCAGCACCAUAAUUCAAAAGCAUCAAUUCUUUGGCAAUGUGGAAAAGAGUUCCUUUGGAAUUAAGUGUAGUGUAGUGGUUAGAGCACGGUGUAGUUAUUAGGGUGAGGGCAGAACAGGUCAAACUCCAUGGACAAAGACAACAGGCAGAACAACAUAUAUAUCAGUCAGUCAUGUAUUCCAGUACACAGCGGAGGCUGAUCUGUUAGGGAAAAUGGGGCACUGCCCACCAACAUCCAUCUGACCACCAACAUUCCUCACCUGUUCUGCCCUCACCCUAAUAACUACACCGUGCUCUAACUACUACACUACACUUAAUUCCCAAGGAACCCUUUUCCACAGGCAAAACGUUAUUAUGAUUCAGGACGUUCUCCUAAGCCCAAACCUGCUUUCCUGCAGCUCACUGGUUCUAGUUCCAUCUCAGUCGAAGCAGCACUUAAGGGACAGUGUAUAAGUGUUUGGACUACAGCUAAGCCUCUUGGGCUUACUGAUCAGAAGGCUGAUGGUUCAAAUCCCCACAACAGAGUGAGCUCCCAUUGCUCUGUCCCAGCUCUUGCCUACCUAGCAGUUCGAAAGCACGCCAGUGCAAGUAGAUAAGUAGGUACCGCUGUGGCGGGAAGGUAAACAGCGUUUCCAUAUGCUCUGGUUUCUGUCACGGUGUCCCGUUGCGCCAGAAGCGGUUUAGUCAUGCUGGCCACAUGACCCGGAAAGCUGUCUGUGGACAAAUGCUGGCUCCCUCAGCCUGAAAGCGAGAUGAGCGCCACAGCCCUUUGACUGGACUUAAUUGUCAAAGGGUCCUUUAGAGUUAGUAGAUUGUAGGUUGAGUUCCCAUGUCAAAAGCAGUAUUUAUCUAUACUGAAUACAAACCAAUGCUCAUUUAUUUCAAAAAUUAAGAGGUACUUAAUUGUCAGUACCUCUAAAUGGUUUGCAUACAUCAAACACACAUUAAAACUGUCAAUAAAUUCUCAUAGUGCAAAGCAGAGUGGAAGAGUACUUUAAUAUUGUAAGUUCUCACGGAAGCCCUCAAGGUUUUGCUAGUAUUCAAAGGCAACACUCACAAAACAGAUCAAUCAUUUUGAGUCAAGCAGUGACAUGUUUACCCAUCCAGAUUUGACCAUCUAUGAACUCGCUUUUUUAUGCUAGCUGUUGUUAUUAUGGUGGUUGGGCUUCAAAUAUAUUGUUGAAACUUUCCAAACAAUUGCAAUAUUAGAUAAACAUUUAUGUUUAUAUCCUUGAUUAUGUUUUAACCUUAUUGCAUUUUUAAUGGCUGCUAACUCUUGUCAGAAGCACCAACAUCACCACACCCCAGAGUGCUAUUAGAGAUAGUUAUAGCCGUGGAGGCAUUUGCAUGUAUUUAUUCAUUUUUAAAAAAAACUAAACUCACAGCCUACUUUCUCAUUGUAGCACUAAAGUAUCUCAGCGCUGUAUUAUCUUCAGCACUUCCAUUUGUACGGCUAUGGCACAUGGUUUAAACUACAGAAUUUGCUCCCACAAGAUGUAGUAAUGGCUUUAAAAUACAAUUAGACAACUUCAUUGCGGAUAAAGUCAUUAGUGGCUACAAAUGAUGUGGCUGCUAACCAUGACGGCUUGUCUUCUACCUCUAUCAUCAUUGGAGGCAGUAGAUGCUUUCUAGAAACUCCAGGACAGGCAAACUCGGCCCUCCAGAUGUUUUGGGACUACAACUCCCACCAUCCCUAGCUAACAGGACCAGUGGUCAGGGAUGAUGGGAGUUGUAGUCCCAAAACAUCUGGAGGGCCGAGUUCACCUUUGCCUACACCAGGAGGAGAGAAAGCUGUUGCACUCAGAUCCUGCUUGCAAACUUCCCAUGGGCAUCUGGUUGGCUGCUGUGAGAACAGGAUGCUGGACAGAGAAGCAUUGACCUGGUCUAGGAUGCUCUUCUUAAGUUCUUAUGAGCUUUUGCUGCCUAAGGCAAAGGACAAGUUGGUGUCUCCCUCCAAUCCCAUGCACAAAAACUGAGCAGGUUGGAAGUUAAAACUUACUCUGACACUGUCAAGGCCUUCGAGGGCAGGCCAUGUGGUAGACACAUCUCCUUCCACACCCUGGCCCUCAGCAUUUGCUGCCUGGGGCAGCUGUCUCACUCUACCUCAUAGUAGGUCUGGCCCUCGUCCUUGCCAUAGGGAAAUCAUGAGGGAAGUUUCAUACCCUCCAACAUUUCUCCAGUGAAAAUAGGGACGUCCUAAGGCAGAGCUUUCCAUGUUGGCAACACACUUUUUAGACAUGCAUCAUUUUGCGACACAGUAAUUCAGUUUUACGGGACGCGGGUGGUGCUGUGGGUUAAACCACAGAGCCUAGGACUUGCCGAUCAGAAGGUCCGCAGUUCGAAUCCCCGCGACGGGGUGAGCUCCCAUUGCUCGGUCCCUGUUCCUGCCAACCUAGCAGUUCGAAAGCACCUCAAAGUGUAAGUAGAUAAAUAGGUACUGCUCUGGCAGGAAGGUAAAUGGCAUUUCCGUGCGCUGCUCUGGUUUGCCAGAAGUGGUUUAGUCAGGCUGGCCGCAUGACCCAGAAGCUGUACGCCAGCUCCCUCGGCCAAUACAGCAAGAUGAGUGCCGCAACCCCAGAGUCGAUCACGACUGGACCUAAUGGUCAGGGUCCCUUUACCUUUAAUUCAGUUUUACUAGCAAACUGGAGGUUAAACUAGCCCCUAUCCAGCCCCUGGAGGAGUGCUGGGAGCAUUUAUGCAGCAUGCCUACACACUGCAGCCAACACACUAACGUGUCGCAACGCACAGUUUGGAAAGCUCUGUCCUAAGGAAAAGAGGGACACUUCAGGAUCAAGUCAGAAACCGGGAUGCAGUGGAAAAAGGUGUGCAAACACAGCCCGGGGUGGGCACACAAGGUGUGCCCCCAAGGGAGGUGGGGCAGCGGGUGUGGAGGGAGCCCGCUGUGGCUCCCCUCGCAAAGCGUACCCAGGAGCAGAACUGCAACCAGGUGCAAAGAGGCUGCGCAGCUUCCUUGUGUGCCACAGUACAGGAGAGUGGCCAGCAGCAUUGCUGCCACAGCCAGGCACAAGGAAGCUGCUUGGCAGCUUGCUAGUGUGCUGCAGCCUCUCUCCAUGCCCGGGUCAGGCUUGACCCGGGGGUGGAGCUGCCUUGGCCAGGCCAAUGGAAUAGAAAACAGCCACUGAAUAAUCGUAGUUGCUUAAAGAUUGUGCACACACAUUUGGUUACUUUUCUUUGCCAACCUGGUGCCCUCCCUGUGUGCUGGCUGGGGCUGAUGGGAGUUGUAGCCCAAAACAUCUGGAAGGUUGGCAAAGCUGCAUUAUGUCUUCAAAACCACAGGUGCAAAUGAGGCAGAGGGACCAUGUGAGUAGACAGCAGCAAAAAUAGUUCCAGACACUCAGAGUUGCCUUAAGGCAAAGAGUCUCCAAGGCACCCUUAAGGCAAUGAAGAAAACCCCUUCUCUACAUUCAGUGAGAGCUGUAAUCGUGGAUGAAGACCCUCAGGUCAGGCCCUUACUCUACCCCCCCCCCCGAUAUCCCCAGGUAAUGCUGUGAAUUUAGAAAGCUGUUGACUACUUAUUUGGGGGGGGGGGGCUGAAUAUAAUUGUGUGCAUCCGUGUGAUGUUUCCCCUCCUCUUCCCGGUGAAAAUGUCUGUCAAGAAGGAAGAGGCCUACUGCAGGUGUAAAUAGAAAAUUUAUGAAGUGGGCCCAAUGCAUGGUACUUAAGGGAUGGAUUUAGUAUCAUCUCAAUUGUUGGAACACUGUUAAGUGCCUGUAUCUAUUUAGGACGAACAAAGGCAAGCGACAAAAUUUGUUAUGGCGCUCUGUUCCACAGCCUAUUCUGGCCUGCAGAGGAGCAAAUGGACAGCUGUCAGGAGUCUGCUGCAAAUUGCUGAGGCUUGAUUAAAUGGCAUCUUACCACCAGUCCUGUCUUGCUGUGCUGACUAUUCAAUCUCAAUUCCUAUUAUCCUUUGCCACCUUGUUGUUUCAUUGUUUUCUUUUC
Molecule: long non-coding RNA, 6755 nt
Filed under: Podarcis lilfordi (Lilford's wall lizard)
Lineage: Eukaryota; Metazoa; Chordata; Lepidosauria; Squamata; Lacertidae
Source: RNAcentral